GGCUUCGUAGUUCAAUGGAUAGAAUAGUGGUUUCCGGAGCCUCUGAUGUAGGUUCGAUUCCUACCGAAGCUA
RNAcentral lists this transfer RNA (72 nucleotides) under Saprospiraceae bacterium. RNAcentral's name for it is "tRNA-Arg". It matches the Rfam family "tRNA". From Rfam's summary of the family: Transfer RNA (tRNA) molecules are approximately 80 nucleotides in length. Their secondary structure includes four short double-helical elements and three loops (D, anti-codon, and T loops). The record is from RNAcentral. Lineage: Bacteria; Pseudomonadati; Bacteroidota; Saprospiria; Saprospirales; Saprospiraceae.